This 493-nucleotide ribosomal RNA is filed under the name uncultured bacterium. RNAcentral's name for it is "bacterial SSU rRNA". It matches the Rfam family "Bacterial small subunit ribosomal RNA", at positions 28 to 533 of the family's 1533-position model. The record is from RNAcentral.
GACGAACGCUGGCGGCGUGCCUAACACAUGCAAGUCGAACGGGAUCCAUGGAGUGCUUGCACUCCGGAAGAUCUAGUGGCGAACGGGUGAGUAACACGUGAGAAACCUGCCCCAGACUCUGGGAUAACCUCGGGAAACCGAAGCUAAUACCGGAUAUUCUCCUUUGGUCGCAUGGCCAGUUGAGGAAAGUUUUUCGGUCUGGGAGGGUCUCGCGGCCUAUCAGCUAGUUGGUGGGGUAACGGCCCACCAAGGCUACGACGGGUAGCUGGUUUGAGAGAACGAUCAGCCACACUGGAACUGAGACACGGUCCAGACUCCUACGGGAGGCAGCAGUGGGGAAUCUUGCGCAAUGGGCGAAAGCCUGACGCAGCAACGCCGCGUGCGGGAUGAAGGCCUUCGGUGUAACGACUUCUAGCAGGACGAAAUAGACGGUACCGUGCAGAAGAAGACCCGGCCGUAACUACGUGCCAGCAGCCGCGGUAACACGAGAGUA